RNAcentral lists this non-coding RNA (935 nucleotides) under Paratelmatobius yepiranga. Its description in RNAcentral is "partial 12S ribosomal RNA". It matches the Rfam family "Bacterial small subunit ribosomal RNA". The record is from RNAcentral. Lineage: Eukaryota; Metazoa; Chordata; Amphibia; Anura; Leptodactylidae.
CAAAGGUUUGGUCCUAGCCUUAAAAUCAAUUAUUACUUAACAUACACAUGCAAGUCUCCGCACCCCUGUGAAAACGCCCUUAAUUUUCCCCUAGAAACAAGGAGCCGGUAUCAGGCACGAAAAUCUGCCCAAAACACCUAGCCAUGCCACACCCACAAGGGAACUCAGCAGUGAUAAACAUUGAACAUAAGCGACAGCUUGAUUCAGUUAAAGUAAAAAGAGCCGGCAAAUCUGGUGCCAGCCGCCGCGGUUACACCACGUGACUCAAAUUGAUAUUCUACCGGCGUAAAGCGUGAUUAAAGUCAUUCUCACAAAUUAGAGUUAAACCUUUAUUAAGCUGUGACACGCUUGUAUAUAGAAAAAUCAAAAACGUAAGUUACCCUAAUUCUUAACUUGAACUCACGACAGCUAGGAAACAAACUGGGAUUAGAUACCCCACUAUGCCUAGCCGUAAACUUUUAAUUACACCUAUCAUCGCCUGGGAACUACAAGCCAAGCUUAAAACCCAAAGGACUUGACGGUACCCCACAUCCACCUAGAGGAGCCUGUCCUAUAAUCGAUAACCCCCGUUUAACCUCACCAUUUUUAGUUAAUCAGCUUGUAUACCUCCGUCGUCAGCUUACCACGUGAGCGACAUAUAAGUGAGCUUAAUGCCCAUUCGCCAACACGUCAGGUCAAGGUGCAGCAAAUAAAAUGGGAAGAGAUGCGCUACAUUUUCUAGUAUAGAAAAUACGAAAGAUUACCUAUGAAACUCUAAUCAGAAGGCGGAUUUAGUAGUAAAAAGAGAUCAGAAAACUCUUUUUAACCCAGCACUGGGGUGUGUACACACCGCCCGUCACCCUCUUCAAAGCCAUUAAACAGUCAUUAACCCCCCCCCGCUGUACAGAAGAGGUAAGUCGUAACAUGGUAAGUAUACCGGAAGGUGUGCUUGGAAA